UAGGGAAUCUUCGGCAAUGGGGGGAACCCUGACCGAGCAACGCCGCGUGAGUGAAGAAGGUUUUCGGAUCGUAAAGCUCUGUUGUUAAGGAAGAACGAGUGUGAGAAUGGAAAGUUCAUACUGUGACGGUACUUAACCAGAAAGGGACGGCUAACUACGUGCCAGCAGCCGCGGUAAUACGUAGGUCCCGAGCGUUGUCCGGAUUUAUUGGGCGUAAAGCGAGCGCAGGCGAUUAGAUAAGUCUGAAGUUAAAGGCAGUGGCUCAACCAUUGUAGGCUUUGGAAACUGUUUAACUUGAGUGCAGAAGGGGAGAGUGGAAUUCCAUGUGUAGCGGUGAAAUGCGUAGAUAUAUGGAGGAACACCAGUGGCGAAGGCGACUCUCUGGUCUGUAACUGACGCUGAGGCUCGAAAGCGUGGGUAGCAAACAGG
RNAcentral lists this ribosomal RNA (429 nucleotides) under Bacteroidota bacterium. RNAcentral's name for it is "Bacteroidetes bacterium partial 16S ribosomal RNA". It matches the Rfam family "Bacterial small subunit ribosomal RNA", at positions 355 to 776 of the family's 1533-position model. Lineage: Bacteria; Pseudomonadati; Bacteroidota. The record is from RNAcentral.